This 497-nucleotide ribosomal RNA is filed under the name uncultured bacterium. Its description in RNAcentral is "partial 16S ribosomal RNA". It matches the Rfam family "Bacterial small subunit ribosomal RNA", at positions 28 to 523 of the family's 1533-position model. The record is from RNAcentral.
GAUGAACGCUGGCGGCGUGCUUAACACAUGCAAGUCGAACGAAGCACUUUUACAGACUUCUUCGGAUUGAAGUGAUAGUGACUGAGUGGCGGACGGGUGAGUAACGCGUGGGUAACCUGCCUCACACAGGGGGAUAACAGUUGGAAACGGCUGCUAAUACCGCAUAAGCGCACAGUACCGCAUGGUACGGUGUGAAAAACUCCGGUGGUGUGAGAUGGACCCGCGUCUGAUUAGCUAGUUGGCAGGGUAACGGCCUACCAAGGCGACGAUCAGUAGCCGACCUGAGAGGGUGACCGGCCACAUUGGGACUGAGACACGGCCCAAACUCCUACGGGAGGCAGCAGUGGGGAAUAUUGCACAAUGGGGGAAACCCUGAUGCAGCGACGCCGCGUGAGCGAAGAAGUAUUUCGGUAUGUAAAGCUCUAUCAGCAGGGAAGAAGAAAUGACGGUACCUGACUAAGAAGCACCGGCUAAAUACGUGCCAGCCGCCGCAGUAA